Molecule: long non-coding RNA, 809 nt
Organism: Capsicum annuum
Lineage: Eukaryota; Viridiplantae; Streptophyta; Magnoliopsida; Solanales; Solanaceae
Exons: 2
Source: RefSeq, a predicted model, not a curated record
UAACAUUUAAUAUAACAUGCAUGAUUUGCUGCCAAACAUGUGCUUCUUGCAAAAAUUUUGAUGUAGAUCGUUUAUUGAAAAGGACAUUAAUUAGCAUUGUUGCCUUACGGCAGCUAAUAAUUUCAUGACUGACAAAUGACACUCAAACAACUUUUACUAAUAUAGUUUUUAGUUGGUUUUGAUUGAUGACCUGUUCAGUACUUCCUCCGUCCUAAAAGAAUAACAAGACUCAAAAGUUAGUAAAUACUACAUAAAAAGCACAGCGGAUUUUAAUUUAAGAAAUGUCCAGUAGAAGUAAACAAUUGCUCUAAGUCCAAAUAUGGGGCAUUUUUAGGGAUAAUAGGGGGAACUGGGUUAAAGGGUUUAUGGCGAAAAUUAGUGUCAAAACUCCCCUGGAAGCCGAAACUAGGGCCCUUUACAUAGGGAUCUUCUUCGGAAGCUGGGGGAUCCACAGAUCGGGCAUGAAGGGAGAAUGACCAACAAAGCUGCAGAUAGGCUAGCAAAGGAGGGCAGAAGGAUGAAGUCGCACCCCUUUUUCGAAGAAUGGACAGUUCCCCGUUGUUUAUCUGUAGAACUAUUUAAGUAGACAACGAGGAAAACUUGUAGUAGUAGUUUUUGUAAUGCCGAACUAUCUCCUGUUAUGUACUUCAGAAAUAUCUGUUCAAGUUAACGGUUUGUUGACACUUCAAUAUAAUACCUUAGAUAGUUGAGUACAAGAAAUACAAGUGAUCAAGUGUUGGUGGAAACGAAAGGCAUUACAGUUCCAUAUGCUGCACUGCAACCGGUGACUUAUCCCUUAAAAGUAAAAA